CCCUUAGAUGUUCUGGGCUGCACGCGAGCUACACUGAUAUUGCCAAUAUGUCAUUCUUAUCCGAAAUGGAUUGGGUAAUCAAGUAAUGAAAUUUCAUGCUUGGAAUCGGUAAUUGCAAUUUUAUCGUGAACGAGGAAUUCCUAGUAAGCACUAGUCAUCAGCUAAUGUUGAUUAUGUCCCUGCCCUUUGUACACACCGCCCGUCGCUACUACUGAUUGGGUGUUCAAGUGAGAUGCUUAGACCCUUGUUGCAUGGUUCAUUAUUGUGCUCCGAAAGGAAAAAGUUUCAAGCUUGAGUGUCUAGAGGAAGUAAAAGUCGUAACA
RNAcentral lists this ribosomal RNA (323 nucleotides) under uncultured eukaryote. RNAcentral describes it as "partial 18S ribosomal RNA". It matches the Rfam family "Eukaryotic small subunit ribosomal RNA", at positions 1470 to 1796 of the family's 1831-position model. The record is from RNAcentral.